Molecule: ribosomal RNA, 234 nt
Filed under: uncultured bacterium
Lineage: Bacteria
Description: partial 16S ribosomal RNA
Rfam family: Bacterial small subunit ribosomal RNA
Source: RNAcentral
CAAACGGGUGCGGAACACGUACAGAACCUUCCUUUAAGCGGGGGAUAGCCCGGAGAAAUCCGGAUUAAUACCCAUAGUAAUGUUGGGUGGCAUCACUUGAUAUUUAAAGAUUUAUCACUUAGAGAUGGCUGUGCGGCUGAUUAGGUAGUUGGCGGGGUAAAGGCCCACCAAGCCAUCGAUCAGUAACUGGUGUGAGAGCACGACCAGUCACACGGGCACUGAGACACGGGCCCG